RNAcentral lists this small RNA (1001 nucleotides) under Pan troglodytes (chimpanzee). RNAcentral describes it as "retained intron". Lineage: Eukaryota; Metazoa; Chordata; Mammalia; Primates; Hominidae. The record is from RNAcentral.
GCACUGGGACCGGCAGCCGCCCGGGGUCCCGCACGACCGCGCGGACCGCCUGCUGGACCUCUACGGGUCGGGCGAGCGCCGCGCCUACGGGCCCCUUUUUCUGCGCGACCGCGUGGCUGUGGGCGCGGAUGCCUUUGAGCGCGGUGACUUCUCACUGCGUAUCGAGCCGCUGGAGGUCGCCGACGAGGGCACCUACUCCUGCCACCUGCACCACCAUUACUGUGGCCUGCACGAACGCCGCGUCUUCCACCUGACGGUCGCCGAACCCCACGCGGAGCCGCCCCCCCGGGGCUCUCCGGGCAACGGCUCCAGCCACAGCGGCGCCCCAGGCCCAGACCCCACACUGGCGCGCGGCCACAACGUCAUCAAUGUCAUCGUCCCCGAGAGCCGAGCCCACUUCUUCCAGCAGCUGGGCUACGUGCUGGCCACGCUGCUGCUCUUCAUCCUGCUACUGGUCACUGUACUCCUGGCCGCCCGCAGGCGCCGCGGAGGUGAGGCUGCCCCGGCAAAGCCAGCGGCCCCAGCAGACUGAGGUGGGCGGGAGGGCGGUCCUCUGGGCUGGGGGACCUGCGGAAGGGGCCGCACUGCCCCCAAUGUGAGUCUCCUUCCCAGGCUACGAAUACUCGGACCAGAAGUCGGGAAACUCAAAGGGGAAGGAUGUGAACUUGGCGGAGUUCGCUGUGGCUGCAGGGGACCAGAUGCUUUACGGGAGUGAGGACAUCCAACUAGAUUACAAAAACAACAUCCUGAAGGAGAGGGCGGAGCUGGCCCACAGCCCCCUGCCUGCCAAGUACAUCGACCUAGACAAAGGGUUCCGGAAGGAGAACUGCAAAUAGGGAGGCCCUGGGCUCCUGGCUGGGCCAGCAGCUGCACCUCUCCUGUCUGUGCUCCUCGGGGCGUCUCCUGAUGCUCCCAGGCUCACCCCCCUUCCAGCGGCUGGUCCCGCUUUCCUGGAAUUUGGCCUGGGCGUAUGCAGAGGCCGCCUCCACACCCCUCUCCCA